CAGCAGCCGCGGUAAUACGAAGGGUGCAAGCGUUAAUCGGAAUUACUGGGCGUAAAGCGUGCGUAGGCGGUUUGUUAAGUCUGCUGUGAAAUCCCCGGGCUCAACCUGGGAAUGGCAGUGGAUACUGGCAAGCUAGAGUGCGUCAGAGGAUGGUGGAAUUCCCGGUGUAGCGGUGAAAUGCGUAGAGAUCGGGAGGAACAUCAGUGGCGAAGGCGGCCAUCUGGGACAACACUGACGCUGAGGCACGAAAGCGUGGGGAGCAAACAGGAUUAGAUACCCCUGUAGUCCCUGUCUCUUAUAC
This 301-nucleotide ribosomal RNA is filed under the name uncultured bacterium. RNAcentral describes it as "partial 16S ribosomal RNA". It matches the Rfam family "Bacterial small subunit ribosomal RNA", at positions 509 to 807 of the family's 1533-position model. The record is from RNAcentral.